CGGUGGAGCAUGUGGUUAAUUCGACGCAACGCGAAGAACCUUACCAGGGCUUGACAUCCCCUGACCGCGUAUGAAAGUACGUUUUCACCCUCGGGUGACAGGGAGACAGGUGGUGCAUGGUUGUCGUCAGCUCGUGUCGUGAGAUGUUGGGUUAAGUCCCGCAACGAGCGCAACCCCUAUGUUUAGUUGCUAACAGGUAAUGCUGAGCACUCUAGACAGACUGCCGGUGACAAACCGGAGGAAGGUGGGAUGACGUCAAAUCAUCAUGCCCCUUAUGUCUUGGGCUACACACGUAAUACAAUGGCCAGUACAGACGGACGCGAAGCCGUGAGGUGAAGCAAAUCCGAGAAAGCUGGUCUCAGUUCGGAUUGUUCUCUGCAACUCGAGAACAUGAAGUCGGAAUCGCUAGUAAUCGCAGGUCAGCAUACUGCGGUGAAUACGUUCCCGGGCCUU
Molecule: ribosomal RNA, 453 nt
Filed under: uncultured Desulfitobacterium sp.
Lineage: Bacteria; Bacillati; Bacillota; Clostridia; Eubacteriales; Desulfitobacteriaceae
Description: bacterial SSU rRNA
Rfam family: Bacterial small subunit ribosomal RNA
Source: RNAcentral